Molecule: ribosomal RNA, 407 nt
Filed under: uncultured bacterium
Lineage: Bacteria
Description: partial 16S ribosomal RNA
Rfam family: Bacterial small subunit ribosomal RNA
Source: RNAcentral
AUUGAACGCUGGCGGCAGGCCUAACACAUGCAAGUCGAGCGGAGCGGCGGACGGGUGAGUAAUGCCUAGGAAUCUGCCUGGUAGCGGGAGAUAACGUCCGGUAACGGGCGCUAAUACCGCAUACUAUCAGAUGAGCCUAGGUCGGAUUCGCUAGUUGGAGGGGUAAAGGCCUACCAAGGCGACGAUCCGUAACUGGUCUGAGAGGAUGAUCAGUCACACUGGAACUGAGAAACGGCCCAGACUCCUACGGGAGGCAGCAGUGGGGAAUAUUGGACAAGGGGCGAAAGCCUGAUGCAGCCAUGCCGCGUGUAUGAAGAAGGCCUUCGGGUUGUAAAGUACUUUCAGCAGGGAGGCGGUACCCGCAGAAGAAGCACCGGCUAACUCCGUGCCAGCAGCCGCGGUAAUAC